This 58-nucleotide microRNA precursor is filed under the name Petromyzon marinus (sea lamprey). Its description in RNAcentral is "Pma-Mir-15-P1o3_pre stem-loop". Lineage: Eukaryota; Metazoa; Chordata; Hyperoartia; Petromyzontiformes; Petromyzontidae. The record is from RNAcentral.
CAGCAGCACAACACGAUCUGUUUAGCUUUGGCUCGGCCAGAGCGUGGUGUGCUGCAGC